RNAcentral lists this transfer RNA (73 nucleotides) under Candidatus Atribacteria bacterium. RNAcentral describes it as "tRNA-Met". It matches the Rfam family "tRNA". Rfam says of the family: Transfer RNA (tRNA) molecules are approximately 80 nucleotides in length. Their secondary structure includes four short double-helical elements and three loops (D, anti-codon, and T loops). Further hydrogen bonds mediate the characteristic L-shaped molecular structure. tRNAs have two regions of fundamental functional importance: the anti-codon, which is responsible for specific mRNA codon recognition, and the 3' end, to which the tRNAs corresponding amino acid is attached (by aminoacyl-tRNA synthetases). tRNAs cope with the degeneracy of the genetic code in two manners: having more than one tRNA (with a specific anti-codon) for a particular amino acid; and 'wobble' base-pairing, i.e. permitting non-standard base-pairing at the 3rd anti-codon position. The record is from RNAcentral. Lineage: Bacteria; Pseudomonadati; Atribacterota; Atribacteria. RNAcentral also lists the same sequence under 1 other name.
GGGCCCGUAGCUCAGUGGUUAGAGCAGGCGGCUCAUAACCGCUUGGUCGCAGGUUCGAUCCCUGCCGGGCCCA